GAUGAACGCUGGCGGCGUGCCUAAUACAUGCAAGUCGAGCGAACAGACGAGGAGCUUGCUCCUCUGACGUUAGCGGCGGACGGGUGAGUAACACGUGGAUAACCUACCUAUAAGACUGGGAUAACUUCGGGAAACCGGAGCUAAUACCGGAUAAUAUAUUGAACCGCAUGGUUCAAUAGUGAAAGACGGUUUUGCUGUCACUUAUAGAUGGAUCCGCGCCGCACUAGCUAGUUGGUAAGGUAACGGCUUACCAAGGCGACGAUGCGUAGCCGACCUGAGAGGGUGAUCGGCCACACUGGAACUGAGACACGGUCCAGACUCCUACGGGAGGCAGCAGUAGGGAAUCUUCCGCAAUGGGCGAAAGCCUGACGGAGCAACGCCGCGUGAGUGAUGAAGGUCUUCGGAUCGUAAAACUCUGUUAUUAGGGAAGAACAAAUGUGUAAGUAACUAUGCACGUCUUGACGGUACCUAAUCAGAAAGCCACGGCUAACUACGUG
Molecule: ribosomal RNA, 497 nt
Filed under: uncultured bacterium
Lineage: Bacteria
Description: partial 16S ribosomal RNA
Rfam family: Bacterial small subunit ribosomal RNA
Source: RNAcentral